AUCGCUUCUCGGCCUUUUGGCUAAGAUCAAAGUGUAGUAUCUGUUCUUAUCAGCUUAAUAUCUGAUACGUCCUCUAUUAGGGGACUUCGAUAUUAAACUGAUUUUUGAAACAUGACGGAGUGUUAGGGGCUUGCUCCACCUCUGUCACGGGUCGGCCUGGUAUUGCAGUACCUCCAGGAUCGGCCCACUCUCC
This 193-nucleotide small nuclear RNA is filed under the name Pomacea canaliculata. Its description in RNAcentral is "U2 spliceosomal RNA". It matches the Rfam family "U2 spliceosomal RNA". From Rfam's summary of the family: U2 is a small nuclear RNA (snRNA) component of the spliceosome (involved in pre-mRNA splicing). Complementary binding between U2 snRNA (in an area lying towards the 5' end but 3' to hairpin I) and the branchpoint sequence (BPS) of the intron results the bulging out of an unpaired adenosine, on the BPS, which initiates a nucleophilic attack at the intronic 5' splice site, thus starting the first of two transesterification reactions that mediate splicing. Lineage: Eukaryota; Metazoa; Mollusca; Gastropoda; Architaenioglossa; Ampullariidae. The record is from Rfam by way of RNAcentral.